Molecule: ribosomal RNA, 496 nt
Filed under: uncultured bacterium
Lineage: Bacteria
Description: bacterial SSU rRNA
Rfam family: Bacterial small subunit ribosomal RNA
Source: RNAcentral
GAUGAACGCUAGCGGCAGGCUUAACACAUGCAAGUCGAGGGGCAGCAUGACGAAACCUUCGGGUUUUGUUGAUGGCGACCGGCGCAAGGGUGCGUAACGCGUGAGCAACUUGCCCUUAUCAGGGGGAUAACCGGUGGAAACGCCGACUAAUACCCCAUAGUAUUGGCUUUAGGCAUCUUUAGUCAAUUAAAGAAUUUCGGAUAAGGAUAGGCUCGCGUGACAUUAGCUAGAUGGCGGGGUAACGGCCCACCAUGGCUACGAUGUCUAGGGGUUCUGAGAGGAAGGUCCCCCACACUGGAACUGAGACACGGUCCAGACUCCUACGGGAGGCAGCAGUGAGGAAUAUUGGUCAAUGGUCAGACGACUGAACCAGCCAUGCCGCGUGAAGGUGACGGCCCUAUGGGUCUUAAACUUCUUUUGCAAGGGAGCAAUAAGAGCUACGUGUAGCUUGAUGAGAGUACCUUGCGAAUAGCAUCGGCUAACUCCGUGCCAGCAG